This 73-nucleotide transfer RNA is filed under the name Ailuropoda melanoleuca (giant panda). It matches the Rfam family "tRNA". Rfam says of the family: Transfer RNA (tRNA) molecules are approximately 80 nucleotides in length. Lineage: Eukaryota; Metazoa; Chordata; Mammalia; Carnivora; Ursidae. The record is from Rfam by way of RNAcentral.
GCCUGGCUCGCUUGGUCGGUACAGCAUGCGACUCUUGAUCUCAGGGUCGUGAGUUCAAGCCCCAUGACAGGCC